GUGGGGAAUAUUGGACAAUGGGCGAAAGCCUGAUCCAGCCAUGCCGCGUGUGUGAAGAAGGUCUUCGGAUUGUAAAGCACUUUAAGUUGGGAGGAAGGGCAGUAAGUUAAUACCUUGCUGUUUUGACGUUACCGACAGAAUAAGCACCGGCUAACUCUGUGCCAGCAGCCGCGGUAAUACAGAGGGUGCGAGCGUUAAUCGGAUUUACUGGGCGUAAAGCGCGCGUAGGUGGUUCAGUAAGUUGGAAGUGAAAUCCCCGGGCUCAACCUGGGAACUGCUUUCAAAACUGCUGAGCUAGAGUACGGUAGAGGGUGGUGGAAUUUCCUGUGUAGCGGUGAAAUGCGUAGAUAUAGGAAGGAACACCAGUGGCGAAGGCGACCACCUGGACUGAUACUGACACUGAGGUGCGAAAGCGUGGGGAGCAAACAGGAUUAGAAACCCCUGUAGUCC
RNAcentral lists this ribosomal RNA (450 nucleotides) under uncultured bacterium. RNAcentral's name for it is "partial 16S ribosomal RNA". It matches the Rfam family "Bacterial small subunit ribosomal RNA", at positions 354 to 796 of the family's 1533-position model. The record is from RNAcentral.